Molecule: long non-coding RNA, 491 nt
Organism: Esox lucius (northern pike)
Lineage: Eukaryota; Metazoa; Chordata; Actinopteri; Esociformes; Esocidae
Exons: 3
Source: RefSeq, a predicted model, not a curated record
GCGUCUCCUUCGGCCAUUGCCCAAAUUCAUUUUUUCCAUAGGGAAUUUUUAGAACCACUUCAAAUAAGCGGUCACUCUCAUUCAGUUGCGCUUCUGAAAAGAAGUAGAUGCAGGAGUCGAAAGGCAGAGCUGACGCUGUUUUAUAGUUUCGCUCAACGCUGCACGGGUAACGCCACAUCAGACCAGCCCUUGGAGUCUUCAAAGUUCAAUUCCUUUAGUAGAUGCAGAAUCCAUCACGCUACACUUGGAAAGUUGUGAUGUAUGCUUAUGCAAGUAGUUAACACUGCACCGCUUUUACAUAAAACGGGGACAUCCUUAGGCCAUUCAGGGGACCAUUCAGGGAAACAUUCAGGGGACCAUGACGCAAUCUCCUACAUUUCCAGGGACAUCCUAAUGGCAGCAGUUUGGUUGUGCAGAGCUGUUCCCUUCCAACCCAAGCAGAUAGCCUAAUGUAGUUCUAGCUAUUAAACUUAACAUAAAUAAAGAAUGUU